Molecule: ribosomal RNA, 1540 nt
Filed under: Klebsiella pneumoniae
Lineage: Bacteria; Pseudomonadati; Pseudomonadota; Gammaproteobacteria; Enterobacterales; Enterobacteriaceae
Also listed under: 2 other names
Description: bacterial SSU rRNA
Rfam family: Bacterial small subunit ribosomal RNA
Source: RNAcentral
AAAUUGAAGAGUUUGAUCAUGGCUCAGAUUGAACGCUGGCGGCAGGCCUAACACAUGCAAGUCGAGCGGUAGCACAGAGAGCUUGCUCUCGGGUGACGAGCGGCGGACGGGUGAGUAAUGUCUGGGAAACUGCCUGAUGGAGGGGGAUAACUACUGGAAACGGUAGCUAAUACCGCAUAAUGUCGUAAGACCAAAGUGGGGGACCUUCGGGCCUCAUGCCAUCAGAUGUGCCCAGAUGGGAUUAGCUAGUAGGUGGGGUAACGGCUCACCUAGGCGACGAUCCCUAGCUGGUCUGAGAGGAUGACCAGCCACACUGGAACUGAGACACGGUCCAGACUCCUACGGGAGGCAGCAGUGGGGAAUAUUGCACAAUGGGCGCAAGCCUGAUGCAGCCAUGCCGCGUGUGUGAAGAAGGCCUUCGGGUUGUAAAGCACUUUCAGCGGGGAGGAAGGCGAUAAGGUUAAUAACCUUGUCGAUUGACGUUACCCGCAGAAGAAGCACCGGCUAACUCCGUGCCAGCAGCCGCGGUAAUACGGAGGGUGCAAGCGUUAAUCGGAAUUACUGGGCGUAAAGCGCACGCAGGCGGUCUGUCAAGUCGGAUGUGAAAUCCCCGGGCUCAACCUGGGAACUGCAUUCGAAACUGGCAGGCUAGAGUCUUGUAGAGGGGGGUAGAAUUCCAGGUGUAGCGGUGAAAUGCGUAGAGAUCUGGAGGAAUACCGGUGGCGAAGGCGGCCCCCUGGACAAAGACUGACGCUCAGGUGCGAAAGCGUGGGGAGCAAACAGGAUUAGAUACCCUGGUAGUCCACGCCGUAAACGAUGUCGAUUUGGAGGUUGUGCCCUUGAGGCGUGGCUUCCGGAGCUAACGCGUUAAAUCGACCGCCUGGGGAGUACGGCCGCAAGGUUAAAACUCAAAUGAAUUGACGGGGGCCCGCACAAGCGGUGGAGCAUGUGGUUUAAUUCGAUGCAACGCGAAGAACCUUACCUGGUCUUGACAUCCACAGAACUUUCCAGAGAUGGAUUGGUGCCUUCGGGAACUGUGAGACAGGUGCUGCAUGGCUGUCGUCAGCUCGUGUUGUGAAAUGUUGGGUUAAGUCCCGCAACGAGCGCAACCCUUAUCCUUUGUUGCCAGCGGUCCGGCCGGGAACUCAAAGGAGACUGCCAGUGAUAAACUGGAGGAAGGUGGGGAUGACGUCAAGUCAUCAUGGCCCUUACGACCAGGGCUACACACGUGCUACAAUGGCAUAUACAAAGAGAAGCGACCUCGCGAGAGCAAGCGGACCUCAUAAAGUAUGUCGUAGUCCGGAUUGGAGUCUGCAACUCGACUCCAUGAAGUCGGAAUCGCUAGUAAUCGUAGAUCAGAAUGCUACGGUGAAUACGUUCCCGGGCCUUGUACACACCGCCCGUCACACCAUGGGAGUGGGUUGCAAAAGAAGUAGGUAGCUUAACCUUCGGGAGGGCGCUUACCACUUUGUGAUUCAUGACUGGGGUGAAGUCGUAACAAGGUAACCGUAGGGGAACCUGCGGUUGGAUCACCUCCUUA